AAACCUGGAGCUUUGUCUUCUAGAACUUUGGAAUACAUUGUUAAUGUUCUGAUAGAAAUUUGUAUCUUAUAAGAACAGUUUGUAAUGUUUUAUGAGAGCUGAAGAUGGCAAUAGCUGAAAGUGCUCCUCUUGUGAUUAAAAAAUUAUAAUGUUUGAUUGUGAGUAAAUAGGAUGUAAAUAGGACUGCUUUAUAGUGCUGGAAGUUAAUAUAACACUUAAGUAUACUCCGAUAAAAAAAGCAGUGUUGUUGUAAUUUUUUUGAUUUCAUAUCUCAUUCCUCCAAUAAAAAAAGCAGUGUUCUUGUAAUUUCUUUGAUUUGCUAAUAGCUGAGCCAGCUAUACAAGCAUGCAGUAUUUGGAAGAUUUAGAAAGAAUUUCUAUCAGGUUAGUCAAAGCAAAAGAGACUUAUGAGUUCCUCAAGCAAUAUAAGAUGAAUGGCAUUCUACCAAGAUCCAUUCAUAAUAUUAGGUUAUCUAUCAAAUCUAAGAAAAUAUUAUCUAAUACUAAAAGAAUAUGCCUUAAAACGGCAUUAUCUGAUGCUAAAAGAAGGAUGUAUAACUUGAACCAAGCAAAACAAGAGCUGACAUCAGAAAUAGUCCCUCAACAUCCCUAACUGGAAACUAGUGGUAGAAGAAUUAGAAAUAAAACAGAGCAGAAGUAGCCUUAAGACCUAAAUAUAUAAAGAUGAGGUGGUUGCUAAAGAACCAGUCAGAUAAAAUGUAUACCGCAAAAGCAAUGCUUCCACUUAAAGAUGUAGCGAUAAUAGGAGGAGACAUAUCUUUACCACAGGUCCUUAUAGACUUACUUUUGGAAGGCCCAUCUGAAAUAUUCUGUUGUUAUAUUAAGAAAUUUUUUAUUUCUUAAUAUAUCUAAUUUACAUCUGAAACAUCUUUUUAUAAAAAAUUUAAAUCUAUGAAAAUAAACUUCCAUAAUAUUAUAUGCUCAUUGGUUAACUGCCAGUUCUUUAUAUUAAGUACUGCUAAGAUUUACCGUAGGAAACUCAGUUCCCACUGUCUUUAAUAUUUAUACAAUUUGUAACAUCUGUUCCUAAUUGUUGAAUCUAAAAGUUGUGAAACUAAAUUAUAAAAAAAAU
Molecule: long non-coding RNA, 1092 nt
Filed under: Androctonus crassicauda
Lineage: Eukaryota; Metazoa; Arthropoda; Arachnida; Scorpiones; Buthidae
Source: RNAcentral